UGCACUGAUGAUCUGGGAAAUCAUCUCGAUGAGACUGUUCUGUCAAAAUUGCCUGAUAAUUAUCAGUCCAUACUAAAGCAAUCCAUAACAAGCGAAGAGGAUGAUAUGGUGCCAGCGCCACGGUUGGACACAUUUAUUAUCUGCAAAGCCAAACAAUAUCUCUCGAGUAUUGACUUUGAGCCGGAGUACAGCACGGAAAUUACAGAGAUGGAGCGAGAUUUACUUACCUUUGUAUGUUACAAGUUCAUAAAGAGGCCUUUGGAGAAGGGGAAAAUAGAUUUGGUGUAAGCAUUGAUCCAACCACUUUGAUAAUAGUGGUUGUCAUAAACAACAGGAAGUAAUAUCAGUGACGGCAUCGGGUUUAAUGGAGUUGGUAAGCACUUGUCAAGUUUGGUUAUACGCUCAAGGUGUAUUAGUAGCCUAUGGCAUCUUUUACGUGAACGUUGGAUGGGGUAUCAAGAACAUAUAAACUUAGUUUGAGUUUGGCUCAGAAUCAGAUUGAAGCGGGUCAAAUUUA
This 517-nucleotide unclassified non-coding RNA is filed under the name Hevea brasiliensis (rubber tree). The record is from RNAcentral. Lineage: Eukaryota; Viridiplantae; Streptophyta; Magnoliopsida; Malpighiales; Euphorbiaceae.